Molecule: unclassified non-coding RNA, 348 nt
Filed under: soil metagenome
Description: partial contains 5.8S ribosomal RNA, internal transcribed spacer 2, and large subunit ribosomal RNA
Rfam family: 5.8S ribosomal RNA (bases 1-120)
Source: RNAcentral
GAUGAAGAACGGAGCGAAAUGCGAUACGUAAUGUGAAUUGCAGAAUUCAGUGAAUCAUCGAGUCUUUGAACGCACAUUGCGCCCCCUGGUAUUCCGGGGGGCAUGCCUGUCCGAGCGUCAUUGCUGCCCUCAAGCACGGCUUGUGUGUUGGGCCCCGCCCCCCGGCUCCCGGGGGGCGGGCCCGAAAGGCAGCGGCGGCACCGCGUCCGGUCCUCGAGCGUAUGGGGCUUCGUCACCCGCUCCGUAGGCCCGGCCGGCGCCCGCCGGCGACCCCCCUCAAUCUUUUCAGGUUGACCUCGGAUCAGGUAGGGAUACCCGCUGAACUUAAGCAUAUCAAUAAGCGGAGGA